GAGUUUGAUCCUGGCUCAGAACAAACGCUGGCGGCGUGGCUAAGACAUGCAAGUCGAACGGACCAUUAAUUUAUUAAUGGUUAGUGGCGAAAGGGUUAGGAACGGACAGGUAACGUGCCCUGUGCUCCGGGAUAGCGUCGUUCGCCUUCGGGCGAGCUUCCGAAAGGGGCGGUAAUACCGGAUAAUAUCAUUUGUUGAUGGACGGAUGUUCAAAGAUUUAUCGGCACAGGAGCGGCCUAUCUCCUAUCAGCUUGUUGGUGAGGUAAUGGCUCACCAAGGCAAUGACGGGUAGCGGGACUGAGAGGUUGGCCCGCAACAUCGGGACUGAGACACUGCCCGGACCUCCACGGAGGGCUGCAGUAACGAAUCUUGCGCAAUGGGCUAAAGCCUGACGCAGCGACGCCGCGUGCGGGAGGAAGUCCCUCGGGAUGUAAACCGCUGUCAGGGGGAAGAAAGUCCGCUUCGGCGGAUUGAUCUAACCCAAAGGAAGUCACGGCUAACUUCGUGCCAGCAGCCGCGGUAAGACGAAGGUGGCAAGCGUUGUUCGGUAUUACUGGGCUUAAAGCGUGUGUAGGCGGAAAGGUAAGCGUCCUGUGAAAGCCCCCGGCUUAACCGGGGAACUGCUCGACGAACUGCCCUUCUUGAGGCAAGUAGGGGUGCAUGGAACUCUUGGUGGAGCGGUGGAAUGCGUAGAUAUCAAGAGGAACGCCGGCGGUGAAAACGGUGCACUGGGCUUGUUCUGACGCUGAGACACGAAAGCGUGGGGAGCGAACGGGAUUAGAUACCCCGGUAGUCCACGCCGUAAACGAUGUCUACUAGGUUGUGGAAGUUCUGACGCUGCCACAACCGAAGCAAAAGUGAUAAGUAGACCGCCUGGGGAGUACGGUCGCAAGGCUAAAACUCAAAGGAAUUGACGGGGGCUCACACAAGCGGUGGAGCAUGUGGAUUAAUUCGAAGCAACGCGCAGAACCUUACCUGGGCUUGACAUGCUUGGAUGCUUGCCUGGAAACAGGUUAAGCUGCCCUUCGGGGUGAAACUUGCACAGGGUGCUGCAUGGCUGUCGUCAGCUCGUGUCGUGAGAUGUCGGGUUAAGUCCUUUAACG
RNAcentral lists this ribosomal RNA (1103 nucleotides) under uncultured bacterium. RNAcentral's name for it is "bacterial SSU rRNA". It matches the Rfam family "Bacterial small subunit ribosomal RNA", at positions 9 to 1094 of the family's 1533-position model. The record is from RNAcentral.